AAACCAGCACCUCAAGUGGUCAGGAGGGUUAUUGGGCCUAAAGCAUCCGUAGCCGGCUCUGUAAGUUUUCGGUUAAAUCUGUACGCUCAACGUACAGGCUGCUGGGAAUACUGCAGGGCUAGGGAGUGGGAGAGAUAGACGGUACUCGGGAGGAAGUGGUAAAAUGCUUUGAUCUCUCGAUGACCACCUGUGGCGAAGGCGGUCUAUCAGAACACGUCCGACGGUGAGGGAUGAAAGCUGGGGGAGCAAACCGGAUUAGAUACCCGAGUAGUCC
This 274-nucleotide ribosomal RNA is filed under the name uncultured bacterium. RNAcentral describes it as "partial 16S ribosomal RNA". It matches the Rfam family "Archaeal small subunit ribosomal RNA", at positions 473 to 747 of the family's 1478-position model. The record is from RNAcentral.